UACGUAGGGUGCAAGCGUUGUCCGGAAUUAUUGGGCGUAAAGAGCUCGUAGGCGGUUUGUCGCGUCUGCUGUGAAAACCCGAGGCUCAACCUCGGGCCUGCGGUGGGUACGGGCAGACUAGAGUGUGGUAGGGGAGACUGGAAUUCCUGGUGUAGCGGUGAAAUGCGCAGAUAUCAGGAGGAACACCGAUGGCGAAGGCAGGUCUCUGGGCCACUACUGACGCUGAGAAGCGAAAGCAUGGGGAGCGAACAGG
This 253-nucleotide ribosomal RNA is filed under the name uncultured bacterium. RNAcentral's name for it is "partial 16S ribosomal RNA". It matches the Rfam family "Bacterial small subunit ribosomal RNA", at positions 524 to 776 of the family's 1533-position model. The record is from RNAcentral.